GACGAACGCUGGCGGCGUGCCUAAUACAUGCAAGUAGAACGCACAGUUUAUACUGUAGCUUGCUACACCAUAGACUGUGAGUUGCGAACGGGUGAGUAACGCGUAGGUAACCUGCCUGGUAGCGGGAGAUAACUAUUGGAAACUAUAGCUAAUACCGCAUAAUAUUUAUUAUUGCAUGAUAAUUGAUUGAGAUAUUCUAUUGCCUCACUACCAUAUGGACCUGCGUUGUAUUAGCUAGUAGGUGAGGUAACGUCUCACCUAGGCGACGAUACAUAGCCGACCUGAGAGGGUGAUCGGCCACACUGGGACUGAGACACGGCCCAGACUCCUACGGGAGGCAGCAGUAGGGAAUCUUCGGCAAUGGACGAAAGUCUGACCGAGCAACGCCGCGUGAGUGAAGAAGGUUUUCGGAUCGUAAAGCUCUGUUGUAAGAGAAGAACGGGUGUGAGAGUGGAAAGUUCACACUGUGACGGUAUCUUACCAGAAAGGGACGGCUAACUACGUG
RNAcentral lists this ribosomal RNA (505 nucleotides) under uncultured bacterium. RNAcentral's name for it is "partial 16S ribosomal RNA". It matches the Rfam family "Bacterial small subunit ribosomal RNA", at positions 28 to 507 of the family's 1533-position model. The record is from RNAcentral.